This 1304-nucleotide long non-coding RNA is filed under the name Sus scrofa (pig). Its description in RNAcentral is "lncRNA (ENSSSCG00000063011.1)". Lineage: Eukaryota; Metazoa; Chordata; Mammalia; Artiodactyla; Suidae. The record is from RNAcentral.
UUCCUCGCCGCUUCCCCAGGCACUCUCCCGGCGGCGGCAGCUGCGCCGCCAAAGCCCCGGGCCCCAGCGGCCCCCCACCCCUCACUCGCGCGCUCCCACACUGCCUCCCCCCUCCCCGGGGGAAGGCCUUUUAAUUUAUUUAUUCUGCUGGGACUUAGGUGGGGGGCUUGGCUGGCGGGGGAGGGGGUCUCCCCGGGCUCUACCUCCCGCGGCUGGGGCUACCCUCCGAGCUGCGGCCGCCUCGGCUUGCGCCUCGGACCUCCAAAACUGUUUGCAAACUGACAAGACCCGAGAGCAGUAAACAGUCCUCAGCGAAGCCGCCUUUUGCCAACCCAACCCUGGAAAGUUUGCAGAAGUGGAAGGAGCAGAAAAUGCCAUGAGAGUGUAACUUUAAAAAGGCUCACGACCGGAGAAGAGGUAUCCCCAACGUUGACCGUCUUUUUUCGGACAGCAGAAACAGGUCCAGUUUGACUCUGACAAUCUUCCCGCUAAGGAAUUCCUGGUGAAUAGAGGAAUGACACCGGUCCUCAGAACAUCUCGCAGGCUGGAGUGAAUGACACAGUUUGCUCAGAGUGGGUGACCCUUCUAAGUGAAAUCUCCCAAGGUUCCUCCAGGUGAGGCAGUCUUACUCUCCCAGCCACUCCCUGAGCUUCGGGGUCCCUGAUGCGGGGCAAGCCUGAGGCAGCCAAAGGGAAGAGGCUUGUGCCUGGCUCAAAGGUAAGUGCUUCCCCCGCUCCCUCCAAGCCCUCUUCCAUCCUCUCCCUCCCUAAGUGAUGCCCCCCCCCUCCGCUCCAGUGGUCCUGAGGAAUCUCACUUCUGACAUGUAUUUGGACCUGUUUCCCUCCUCUUUUGCUAGCUUCCAGCUGCCACUGUGCACCCCAGCCCUGUCCCAGCCUCACCAGCCAAUCACAGCUCCUCCCUGGUCAUGGGAAAAGCUUUGUCUGGGCUCCUCUCCUGUUAAGAGCCUCUGUCCAGCACCCCUCUUGAGCCUGGCAACCAGGCCUCCACGAUCUAACCCUGGUUACUAACUUGACAAUCAUGUCUGGCCUCCCUCACUCCCCAGCCACUGCCAAACCUGAUAUGAUGUCUAGCCACCAUACACUUACCCAGGCUGGGUACCCAUCCUACUUCUGCUGGCCUUUCCUGCCAGCACUGACAAGCUUGGUUCAUGUGCUGCCUGCCUCUCAACCUUCUCUGAACCCUAGAGGCUCUGGUGUCUAAAUUGUUCACAUCUCAGAACGCUUCCCCCAAGACUGAGUUCCUCAGAGGCAGGAACACAAUUCCCUCUCAAUAAACUUGUGCUG